This 304-nucleotide ribosomal RNA is filed under the name uncultured bacterium. Its description in RNAcentral is "bacterial SSU rRNA". It matches the Rfam family "Bacterial small subunit ribosomal RNA", at positions 775 to 1067 of the family's 1533-position model. The record is from RNAcentral.
GGAUUAGAUACCCUGGUAGUCCACGCCGUAAACGAUGCACACUAGACGUCGGAGGUUCUGACACCGUCGGCGUUGGAGCAAAAGUAUUAAGUGUGCCGCCUGGGGAGUACGGCCGCAAGGCUAAAACUCAAAGGAAUUGACGGGGGCUCACACAAGCGGUGGAGCAUGUGGCUUAAUUCGAAGCAACGCGAAGAACCUUACCCAGGUUUGACAUGCUUGGAUGCGGCCCGGGGAUAACUCGGGUUCGCUGCCCUUCGGGGUGAAACUUGCACAGGUGUUGCAUGGCUGUCGUCAGCUCGUGUCG